UUUGUCAUAUCUGUGUUUUAACUUUAUGAUAAUUUGUAUGCAUACGUUUGUUGAAGUAAUGAAUGAUUAAGAAAUAAUGUUGUAGUAGAAAUACUAAUGACAUUCUAAUUGAUAAAUAAAUAAAUAAAUAAUCAAACUUUUAUAUAUAUUUAAAAAAAAUUGGUUUCUUUACAUUAAUUAUAUAUUCUUUGAUUUGUCGUGUGUGUGGAAAUUAUGUAAGAAGCAGAAAUGUGUCAAAAAAGACGGCUUCCAAAUAUAACUUUUGAGCAAAUUAGAAAAUGUGAGUGCCAUUGUUAACACGAAUAAGCCUGUACAUAAAGCGGCUAUAAGUUGUAGUGGCUACAUAAAAUGUCAUGCUUCAGGCUUCAUUGUUCAAGCUAUAGCUAUGGCACGCGUAUUUCAUGCAUUUAUGGUAUAACUAUAAGAAGUACUUGAAAUUUUGCAGUAUUUGUAUUAAUCUUUUACGACAUAGAAUUUCAAAAUUCGAGAUACUUUGUUGAAAAGAAGCAAGCUGGCACCGCCCUUCUAGAUGGGGUUGCCAGUCAUUAUCAACAUUCAAAAUUCAUUCAAAUCUUGAAGAAAUUUAAAAAAAUAAUAUUAUUUUAUAGUCAUUUUUAGCUAUAAAAAGAGAGAUUCUCCAAGCAUCCAAAAAUUCAAUUUCUUGUGAGAGAAAGAGAGUUGAGGGAUUUUUGAAGUUUUUUAGAGUUUAGUGAGAAAUUGGGUGUAUAUGGGGCUUGAGUGAGAAAUUAUUUUCUAAGAGUGUGGCUGUAAUAAUUUUCCACAUAGUGAAUAAUUUUUUUCUGAUUGUCCUUUGACAACGGUCAUGGUUUUUCUCCGAAUUUAAAGUUUUCCACAGAAAUCUUGUGUUGUGUGAUUGGUGUAUUCUCCAUUUAAUUUUUUUUUAUUAAUUUGUUGCUCGACAAAUUGCUUGAAGUGAUCUUAGAAGGAAACUCAAUUUCCUAACACAAUCAAAAGCAAGAUAUACUUCAUGAAUAAAGAGAUAUUAACUUACCGAGGGGGAUGGGUGAGUUUAGGUUUCGAUUACUUCAUGAAUAACGUCUAAAAUAUUCUUCAAUUCAUUGAUUCCAACACAAUAUUUUACACAUUUACAAGAUUGAACUUUUAAUUUAUAUAAAAUUUUAUAAGUGAAACAUUAUGCAUAUGUUCAUCCUUUAAAAAAAAAAAAAGAAGAAGAGAGAAUCAUGUGCAAUGUUUGAAUUUUAAUUACAAAAAUUUUUAAAUUAAUUUAAAAUAUAAAAUAUAAUUGUAUCAUUGGUUCGGUAAAUGGGUUAGGAACUUUAACCCUAAUCUAACACUGAAAAAAAUCGUGUCGACCCAAACUAAUAAUCAUGUCAAAUAUGACGAUACAUACCUGUUUAUUUGUGUCAUGUUCAUAUAAGAUAGUUGGAUUAUGUCAAAUUUUGCCACCUCUAAGUAUGACAUUUGCAUUCACCUCAAGACCGCUUAUUGUCUUUCAUAUAAUAUUAAAAAAUGUGAAAUUACAGUUUUAUCUCUUUUAAAAUUUGUUUUAACUACUUAGAGGUACUUGAUUGUCUUUUAAUACCCUAUUCAUUUUUUUUUCUUAUUUACAAUUAAUAGCGUUGACCAAUUAAAAUUUAUUUAUUUAUUUAUUUUGAGAGGAAGAGAAACUUCAUUGUAAAAGAAACUACCGAAAUAUUAAUCUAAUCCUAUCAAGACCAGCCCCAAGAUCCAGACCUGAUUGAGUAAAUUAACCCUAAUAUAAAAUAUAAAGCCAAACAACAAAUAAAUCCAAGCAAACAAACAGUACAACCAGAUUUACAAGAAUCGACACCCUUAAUCCUUUCUCUUUAAUGACAGGAAACAACCAGAUUUACAAAGGAGACUUCAAUCAGUUAAAUUACGAAAUUAAUUUAAAUUGAGCAAUUACCAAUAACUUGAGUAACCAGUAACUAUCCAUAAAAAAUAUAUUAAGUGUGGAAAAGUUUCCUUUCAAAUCAAAUGACCCAUAAUAAUCUCAUUAUUGAUAGUAUAAUUCUUUUACAGCAACACUCAAAAUUCCUCAUAAAACUCUCUUCCAAUUGAAAUUACUUAUAAAUUAAUCAAUUUCUUGUUUUGAAUGGAAAUUCAGUUAGACACUUAGAUAAGUUAUUAUUUUAACAAAGUUUUUACACCAACCUCAUUUAGUAAUUAUAUUUUAAUUAAAAGAUAUUUUCUGAGAAAAUUAUAAGAAUUAAGAGUUAUGAAAAUAAAUAUAAUAUGAUAAUAAUAAAAAUUAAGAUGAACUUAGUAUUUUAGGAUUUGUAUAUAAUUUAAAAAAUAAUUUUUAAAUAAAAUUUGAUGAGAAGAUGAUUAAUUUUAAUAUACAGAUUUGUGUUUUAUUAAUUACAUUGACAGUAUUUUAAGAAAUAAAUCUAAAAGGAUUGUUGUGAGGAUUUUAGAAGGGUGUUGAAAGCUCACCCAUAAUUAAAAUUGGAGUAAGCCUUUUGACACCCUUCUAAAUUCCUUAUAAAACCCUUCUUCAGUUGAAUUACUCUCUCUAUCCAAUGCUCCUGGUUCAUUACUCAAAACAGACUCUGUGAUAUGUUGGUUGAUCUUGAUUCCGUCGUGCUACAUUGGCCAUGGACCAACUGCGAGAGUUGGGAGUAAAAUAUUAUGGCCCUUGAAGAAGAGAGCGAGACAGCAGCAGGUAAAAAGAUACAAACAGAAAGUGUAAAUGGCCCGACCCGAUUUGGUCCGAAAGCCCAUUUAAAUAAUAAUGGUAAAAUCACAUUAAAAAACUGUGAUGGUUGUAAAUCGUGGUGGAUUCUACUAAAAUAAUGCUCUCCUAUUUAUUUAUUUUUAUAAAUAAUAAUUGUGAAUAACUCCACCUUCUAAUGCCUAUAUAUACCAUUUCUUUGCUAAUGAAUGAAUACAAUUCAAUUUCUCGCUUAAGGCACUUUACUUGUUUUCUUCAAUCUUCAUUUGAGUAUUCUUUACUUAAAUAUCAUCGUUAAAUAAUUAUUUAUAUACAAUCCCUUUAAAUUAUAACAUCCAUUAUCUCCAAAUUUAUAACAGUGAUAAAAAUACUAAUAACAUAAACUGGCAAGUGUUAACAUCAAUAAACAUGUGUGUAUAUGUAUAUAUAUGCACUUUUUUCCCCAUUCUUCUUGCCUUUUUUAAAUAGAACAACAUUGGCCAUAAUUGAAUAUUGAUUUGAUAAAGAAUGAACCGAUGAUCCACAAUUCUCUCUAUUGAAAUUAACGUCUUAUGUUAAAACCAAUAGAAAAUCGGGGAGACAACCCAUUGCCAACCAAGUUUCCUUCGAUGAUAGGAUGGUCCACAAAAAAAAUGAAAAAAAAAAAAAUCAGUCGAUUCGAUAUAACGAAAUUUCGUUACGUAUAUCAUUUUGUGGUUGAAAUGAAAAGAUUUGAGAUUUCUUGUUUAUACUAAGCCAUCAUUAUAUUUAAAGAUGAACAUAAGAUAGAUCAAUAGAGAGAGAAAUAGCUAGGGAUCUCUGCAAAUCAAAGGAGCUGAAGAUUAGUUAAAAGAGUACCAAAUUAAGAUGAAUGGUGAGGUCAAGAACUCGAUGAAGGUAUGGAUUCUAGCAAUUUUAUCUUAUGUUUGAGCUGUGGUUAAUUACCACGUGCAUAGCAUCAUAAUUCCCAGAAGGACUUCUAAGGCUUCUAUCUCUCUUUUCCUGUUUCCACCUCUUCACAUCCUCCCAUUAAAUCUUCCCCCUAUACAUUUUUUUGGUGCCGCAUCCUUCUUCCUUGACAACUUCAAGCUUCUGCUUUUUGCUUUUGAGCAAAGGCCCUUUAUCUCAAGUCUCAACUCAAUAAUAAUCUUUUCCAUUUCCUAUCGAUAGCUUGUCUCCCCAUAAAAUUCAAACCAUCCUCUCCGGUUUAAUAUUUAAAGGCAGUGCUCAAAUUUUUUGGAACUUAUGAAAGGCAUUGUGACAUAGGUAGGUAGCAUUAUUGUCAACAAAUUAGUAUCUUUCUUGCAUUCAUUUGUACCACCAUUCACUAUAUUAAUUUGUCAAUCAAGCAGCCCUUAAUUUAUUUUCAGCUUAUAACAUAUGGUGGAGGUUUGUCACACCAUUCGCUCUAUAUUAAUUGAAUUAUUAACGUGUGAUUUUGGAUCAUAUCAUCUUCAUUAUGCAGUGGGUUACGCUUACGCAAUGUUUCACAUCAUCUGCAGGAGUAGGAUUUCACUUUUGUGUCACAAUGUAGAACUAAUUUUAGGACCAAUUUGGUAAUAUUGUAAAUUUUAAAAUAAUUAUUAUUAUAUGUGUUAAAGAAAUAAUCACUUGUGAAAGGAAUUAGUUAAAUUUUUGAUAAAAUUUAUUUUUGAAUGUGUUGUAAGUUUUAAGAACAGUCAUAUAUGUUUGGUAAAUCUUACUAUUAAAUCGUUAUAAAAGUGUAAAUAACUAAAUUAAAUAUAACAUUGAAUGCAAUUUAUUUACACAUUUAUAAACAUGUAUAUAAAUUUUUUUAUUAUGUAUAUAUAAUAAUUGAUAACUAAAAUAAAAUUUAUAUUAUUAAAUUUAUUUUUAUUUUGUUAUCUCAAAAUAAUAAUAAUAAUAAUAAUCUAUCUAAGGUUAAUGAUUUUAUUUCUUAAUUAAUAAAGAUAAUUUUAAAUUUUUAUAAUAAAUAUGAGGGUAUAUAUAAACUUAUAUUAAAUACAAAAUUGAUUCUCAAAAUUAAAUUUUAAAAAAAAUCUUUACUUUUCAAAAUCUACUGUAAAAUAGAGAGAUUUUACUAAAAAAUGAUUUCUAAAAAAUUACCAAAAUAUCGAAAUUAACUUUUUUUUAAAAAAAAUUCACUUUUAAACCUCUAAAAAAUAGUUUCAAACAAGUAAUUAGUAUCAAAAUAAAUUAAAGUAAGAGUGGAGCUAUUGGCACCACAUUAUUAAUCUCUUAAAACCCUUUUUCUAUACAUACGCAUAAAAUAAUUUAAAAUAUGAUAUUACUUGUAUUAACACCAAAAUCCACAAAUAACCCUAUUCGUUUUUGCCUAAACCAUUGAUAUGUCAAAUCUCAAAUAUCACAUCAAUUAAAUAAAUUUGUCUCCCAACUCAUUUUCACUAGUAGCUACAUUCAUUAAAAUUUGUCAACUACUCAAAACUUCUCAUAUGAGUUUCACAAUAUCAAAAGCACAUGGCGACAAAGAAGAAAGUUCAGGAUAUUGUAUUGGUAGAAAUAUUUGAGUGAUCUGAUAAGAAAACUGCAAAUGGCUAUAAUGAGUUCUAAACUUUUCUUUAAAAAAAAAAAAAGAAUUCUAAACUUAAUAACUAUAUCACACAUUUGUCAGUCUGUAAAUUCAACAAAUUUUUUUUAAAUUGAACUGCAAUUUUGCCAUGGAUAAAGACAAAUUCUUGAGAAGUAAUAAUUGUAGGAGGUGUUAAUGACGGAUCCUAAUCAUUGUAGAAAAUGGUUCAUUGAUUAAAAAAAAAUUAAAUAGCUAGCAAUAUAAUUAAAAUAGCGACAUAAUAAUAUAAUUAGUUUUGAGAAACUAUUCUGAAGUUAUUUUACUUGUUUUAUGUUGGUGUCUAAAAUAGGGAUACUGUAAAAAGUUCCGUUAGAAUGUUAACAUCACUAGUACUCUUAGGGUGUGUUUGGUUGUUGUAUUAUAACUCCUCAUUGCAUUAGCUUUAUACAAGCCCAUGUUUGGUAAGUUAAAAACUACAUAAAACAUUGCAUAAUGGGCCUAGCUAAUGCGGCAAACUGCCGCUUCUUGUUUUUUUUGUUUUUUUUCUUUUUCGUUUCCAACUUUUCAGUUUUUGCUAACUUUUGUUUUUACUUUAAUUUUUUUUUGCUUUUUGUUUCCAACUUUUCAGCUUUUGCAAACUUUUGCUUUUACUUUAAUUUUAUAAUAAUAAUAAUAAUAAAUAUUAUUUUUUAAUUUAAUAAUAAUAUUAAUAUUAAUAUAAAAUAUUAAUACAAUUUAAAUAUAUUAAUAUAAUAUAAUAUAAUAUUUAAUUUAAAUUAAUCAAAAAAAUUAUUACAUAUAUUAAUAUAAUAUAAUAUUUAAUUUAAAUUAAUCAAAACAAUUAUUACAGUACAGUGUAGUACCAAACAUUGUACAGUAUUAUUAUAAUAUAAUGCUAAUAUAAUACAACAUAAUAUAAUAUACCAAUAUUAAAAUAAUACAAUACAACAUAAUACAAUACGUGUACCAAACACACGUGUUUGGUUGUAGUAUUAAGGGGAUAUUAAAUUACUAUUUACAUUAAGUUAAUACUUAUACCGUGUUUGGGAGAAUAUCACAUGGGUUAAGGACACUGUAAGCUAAUGGGGCAGUUGCCGCAUUAGCUUACCUUCUUUCUUUUUUUUUUUUUCCUUCUUCUUUCUUUUCCAUUUACUUUUUACUUUAACUUUUGUUUUUGCUUAUAAUAAUAAUAAAAAAUAAAGAUAAUUUUUUAAUUUAAUAUAAUAUUAUAUAAUAAUUUUAUUUUUAAAUUAUAAUUUAAUAUAAAUUAAUAAAUAUAUAAUUUUUUAUUCAAUAAUAUUAUAUUAAUGUAGUGCCAAACAUUACACAGUAUUAUUAUAAUACAAUACUAAUACAAUACAGCAUAAUAUAAUACAUCAGUAUUAAAAUAAUACAAUACAGUGUGCCAAAUGCACCCUUAUUUCAUACAUUGCUUUAAUGUAAUUUUAACUGAGGGCAAAAGUAUAAAUUACACUCUUAAAAUAAACGGGUGCUAAUAGCUCAACUCUUAUAGAAUAAAAGAUUUUGGUUUAUUUUAGUUUUUAGGUGGAAACUGGAAGCUUCAUUUUGAUUAACAUCUCGUAUUAAAAAAUAUCAAUAGCUGGUUCAAUUUGAGUUUGACAAUAUAAAAAAAAAAAAAUUUGUCAGUUAAUAUUUAACAUUUCAACUCCGGUUAGCAUCCAUAAAUAUAGGGUAUAUAUAUUUCUUUUUUGGGAAAUUAUCAAUUAUGUACCCUUAAUUUACCCUUAGUUUAUUUCGUUAUCAAAUUUACUAUAACACUUUCAGGAUAUAUCAGUCGUCUAUCUUAAAUUGAUAAAAUUUAUCUGCCAUCCACCAAACCGUUAAUUUUCAUUUAAAUACGAUGAUGUUAGAGGGGUAAUUUGAUCUUUUUUAUAUGAUAUAAGUGAUAAUUUAAGGGUAUAUAAAUAAUAAAUAGAUAUUUUAAAGGUAUACAAAUGAUAAUUUUUAAAAAUAAAAUAAUCAAUUCGCUACAAUUUCGUUAAUUUUUAAACAACAACUAACGAUUUAGUAGUUGACAUAUAUCUUUUGUCAAUUUAAAAUAGACAAUUAAUACAUCCUUAAAAUAUUAUAUGAUAUUUUUAAUAAAAAUAUAAAUUUAUGAUAUACGAAUAAUAAUUUCCCUUAUUUUUUUCCUUUUCCUUUUCAAAUUGAAUAAUAUUAGCCAUAAUUAAAUAUUGGCCUUGGCAAAGCAGGAUCGGCAUUUUAGUAAAAAGAAAACAUUGAGAUCCCCCUUUUCGAUAUUAAAACAAGCAUUAGAUUUAAAAGAAGAAGAUCAAGAGAGAGAGAGGAAUAGCUAGGGAUCUCUGCAAAUCAAAGAAGCUGAAGAACAAUUAGAGAGUAGCAGAGAUGGGUGGCGAGCUCAAGAACUUGAUCAAGGUAUGGAUUCUAGCAAUUUCAUGUUUGAGUUAUUGUUACCUGAUAGCAUCAAAAUUCCCGAAAGGACUUUUAAGGCUCAUCUCUCUCUUUCCCGUCUUCUACCUCUUCAUCAUCCUCCCUCUAAAUCUUUCCUCCAUACAUUUUUGUGGCGUCACAUCCUUCUUCCUUGUUUGGCUUGCCAACUUCAAACUCCUGCUUUUCGCUUUUGACCAAGGCCCUUUGUCAUCUCAACUCCAUCAUAAACUUUUCCAUUUCAUAUUGGUAGCCUGUCUCCCGAUAAAAUUCAAACCAAACCCGCCUCAAGGUAUUGUUACAAAGCCUCAUCAACAAAGCACCCAAAAAUCAUAUCAAGUGCCGUUAAAGUCACUUUUACUUGUAACAAAGUUGUUACUUCUAUUGUCAAUAUUUUAUGCUUAUGAAUAUAGACAGCAUCUACACCAAUACGUGGUCUUAGCCCUAUAUUGUUGCCACGUUUAUCUUGAGCUAGAACUGAUCCUAGCCUUGUGUUCAACCCCGGCUCGGGUCCUUGGCUUUGCGCUCGAGCCACAAUUCAAUGAACCCUAUCUAGCCACCUCACUGCAGGACUUCUGGGGCCGUAGAUGGAACCUAAUGGUCACAAGUAUCCUACGUCCCACCGUAUACGAUCCGGUACAAUAUAUUUGUAGACGUAAUAAAGUCGGGCACAUGUGGCCGCAAUUGUUGGGUGUCGUUGCCACUUUUAUUGUGUCGGGACUAAUGCACGAGGUAAUUUAUUAUUAUCUAACACGUGUGCCACCCUCGUGGGAGGUGACGUGGUUUUUUGUCCUUCAUGGGGUAUGUGUAGCUAUCGAGGUUUGGCUCAAGAAGAAGUUGAUCAAGCGAUGUGGCCGGCUGCCCCGGGCAGUUUCAGGAGCUUUAGUGUUGAUAUUUGUGGCGGCAACCGGUUUGUGGCUGUUCUUCGCCCAAAUAUUCAGAAACAAAUUGGAGGAAAAGGUCAUAACGGAGGUCUUCUUUUCUUUAGAUUUUGUAAGAAGCAUUAUGACGUAACUUGCUGCUUUAGUGACAGGACAAGUCCUGUUUGUUUUGACCACUAGCUAGCAAUUGUAUCCCUAAUCCUUAUCUGAAAUUAACUUGCUUUAAUUAUUCUUUUCAUUUCUGUUUCAUCUAUGCUAUAGUUCAAAAUGCUUAUCUCUAAUCUCUAUAGCCAUUUUAGGAAAUUAUACAAUUAGAGUUCGGCAAGAACCCAAAAGAGGAAAAAAAUAAAAUAAAAAGUCUUCCAAAUCCAACUUUUGACCCGAAAAGAAUUUUAAAAAGUUAAAAAAAAAACUUUUGAUAAUUCUUUGAAUAUCGUAACUUAAACUUUGUUGACUACCUCGAUUAUAAUUGCUUUUUAAUAAAUAAAAAAAAGUAUUUUAGACGAAGAUCAGUCACCACGCAAAAUAAUUAGUUAUCAUGUUCAAUCCCAAGUUUUGUUUCUAAAUUUCAAAUACAAUUCUGUGUAAAUGUGUUAGAAUCAUGAAGAAGCAUGUUGCCUGUGAUCCUUACUUAGAACUAAACCAUGCUAAAAUCAAAAGAACUUAAAAAUUGAAUCGAUGAGCUGCAAUGCAAAUGGCAAAAGAAGGCCCAAAAAAGUGGAUGGAGAGCCGAAAAAAUUUUAAUUAAUGUAUGCGUUACAAAUUUGAGUUAUUAUUACUACUUACAUAUUAAGACCUUAUAUGGGAUUGAUGUUGGGUACCGUAGCUUAAAAGUUAGGUAUAAUAUUAAAAUAUUUAGUAAAUAGUAGUUAUUAUAAUUUAAAAGUUAAGUUGAUUUGAUUUUUAUAAAAAAUAUAUUAUAUAUUACUUAAUUUUGUCAAAUUUAUUUUUAAAACUGUAUUUAUUAUAUAUUAUUAAUAUUUAUUUAAUAAUUAAAGUUUUUUCCUACAACAAUUGUAACUUGAAAAGUACAUCAUUUCAAUACCAAAUAAAAUCAGAAACUCCUCUUUAACAUACUCCCCAUAGUCCCCUAUUAUCUUUACUCAUUCAAUGUUCAUGUUGUCACUGCUUUUUUCCUUGUUUGGUUUGUCAAUAACUUCAAGUUUCUACUUUUUACUUUUGAUCAAGGCUAGAGGAGGAAUUAGAAUUUUGGUUCGAGAGGGGCCAUAAUAUAGAAAUCUAAAUUUGAAUCGGCUAUAACAUAACAUAAAAUUAGUUAAGUUGAGUAGGCUAACAAUUGGGAUCAUAAUAUAGAAACCAUAAACUUGUGUAGGUUGUAACAGAAACUCUGUAAACUUAAGGGGAAAUUGGUAACUUUUCAAUAAAGCCCCUAAUCAUCCAUCCGUUUAAUUUUUAAACGUUCUUUUUCAAUUAUAUUUGAUAUUAAAAUAUAAAUGUAUGAAGAAUUCAUGAAUUCAACAAUUCUUCCUAAUCUAAAAUAUUAUCUUUCAUAAGAUCUAUAGUAAUAUUAAAGAAUUAGUAAUAUAACAUACGGAAUCCUGCAAUUAAUUAAAGCUUGAACAUACAAGUUAGUUGAUAGUUUUAGAUUAAAUGGGAAGAUCUUUAAAUUUUUUUUUUUCGUUCAAAAUUAAUUAUAAUUCUUAUUUUGACACUGAAAAAGUACAAGAUACAAAAUUGCUUCUUAAUUCUUAUUUUGAUCCAAAUAUGAAAGAAUAGACAAGGCUAAAUCUUGAAACAAAAUAAUUUAAAAUUAUUUUGCCUAAGCCCUAAAAUUAUCUCAAUUGAUUAUUAACAUGUGAUGACAAUUGACCAUGAAAACACUAUUAAUUAUGUUCAUGAACAAAAUAAUUUAAAAUUAUUUAGAUGAAAUACUUCGUACUCUAUAUGAUAAAUCGUGUCUAAACUUGUUAGAUUUAUAAUCUAAAAUCAUAUUCUUGUUAAAUAUGAAAACGUGGAAGAAUAAAUACAUAGCUUUUUAAAAAAUCACGAGCUUCUCAGUUCAAAGUGAUUCUUUGUUAUCAUAGACUAAAUUAUAAUACUUAUGAUAAUUUAACAUUUAAUUUUUUAAAAUCACUUUUAAACUUCUAAAAAAAAUCUCAAAUGAGCGGUUGGUAUUGAAAUAAAUUAGAAUAAGAGUGAAGCUAUUGUCCCCCCAUUAUUAAUCUCGUAAAACCCCUUUUUUUUCUAAACAUAUCCCAUAAAAUAAUUUGAAAUAUCAUAUUACAUCUAUUAAUACCAAAAGAAUUUCCACAAAUAACCCUAUUCACUUUUGCCUAAAGGCGCAUCAAUUUGUCAAGUCUCAAAUAUUACGUAAAUUACACAAUUCUAUCUCCCAACUCCUUUUCUUUGGUAGUUACAUUCGUUAAAAUUAGUCAGUUGGUCAACCUUCUCAUAUGAGUUUGACAAUAUCAAAAAAUGCAUGGUGACAGAAGAAAACUCAACGUAUUGUAUUGGUAGAAAUAUUUUAGUGGUUUGAUAAGAAAACUGCAAAUCACUAAACAAGUUCUAAGCUUUUCUUUUUUUAAAAAAAAAAAGAAUUCUAAACUUAAUAACUACAUUAUACAUUUGUUAGUCAACAAGUUCAACAUAAAUUUUUUAAAUUGAAUUGCAAAUUUUUUAUCAGUUUCUUGAGAAGUAAUAGUUGUAGGAGGUGUUGAUGGCGGAUCCUAUCCACUGUAGAAAAUGGUUCAUUGAUUAAAAAAAAAAAAAUCAAUAGCUAGCAAUAUAAUUCAAAAUUCAUCAUAAUUGACAAACUACAUUGUAAUUAUUUUACUUGUUUUAUGAUGAUGUCCAAAAUAGGGACACGGUAAAAAGUUUUGUUAGGAUGUUAACAUCACUAGUACUCUUAUUUUAUACUGUUCUUUUUAAUGUAAUCUUAAUUGAGGGUAAUGAGGGUAAAAGUAUAGAUGUCAAAGAGGGGGUUUUGAUAGGAGAUUGAAGGGGUGCUAAUAGCUCUACUCUUAUUAUAAUUAAAGAUUCUGGUUUACAUUACGUGGAAACUGGAAGCAUCAUUUUGGUUAACAUCCCGUAUUAAAAAAUACUAAUGGCUAGUGAUCUUGGUUUUGGCACAUGCAUGGGUUAUAUAUUGUUAAUUAAUAUUUUUUUUUUUUGGAAAAAUAAUGUUAAUUAAUAUUUAGCAUUUCAACUCCGGUUAACAUCCAUAAAUAUAGUGUCUGUGUUUGUGUGUACAUUUUCAUUUUUUUUUCCUUUCAUUUAUAAAUAGAAUAAUAUCAACUUCGACAAGGCAUGAACGACAUAUUUUUGUGAAAAUGAAAAAAAAAAAAAAAGAGUGAGAACCCCUUUCUUGAUAUUAAAGCCAGUAUUAGAUUUAAAAGAUGACCACAAGGGACAUCAACGGCGAGAGGAAUAGUCAGCGAUCGAUAUCUGCAAAUCAAAGAAACUGAAGAUUAAUUAGAGAGCAGCAAGGAUGGAUGGUGAAAUCAAAAACUUGAUCAAGGUAUGGAUUGUAGCAAUUUCAUGUUUGAGCUAUUGAUACUUGAUAGCAUCAAAAUUACUGGAAGGACUUGUAGGUCAUGUUCGGUUGCAAGAAAGGAGGAGAGAGGAGAGGAAGGGAAAAGUGAGGAGGAGAAAGAAAAUGAGUAGAAAAUGAUGAAGAGAUUAAUUUCCGUUGUUCAGUUUGGCAUAUAAUUAAUAAAGGAAAGAAUUUAAUAAUUUUUAUUUAGACAAAUAUACUCUUCUAUUAAAUUUUUAAUAGUCAUUAUUAAAUAAACUAAAAAUAUGUUUAACUAUUUAAAAACCAGCCUCAAGAUUAACACUCAUUCUCAAUGUCCUGGCAACAUUUAUAUUGCCUUUAUUAAAAGUAUUUUUACACAUCAUUAUCAAAAGUGUUUUUACUAAUAAUUAUCCAAGUGCUUCUAUACAAACCACUUUUUUUUUCUUUUUCUUUCUUUUUCCAAUAAGAAACAUUAAUAUUAUUUCACAUAGAAAAGUCUAACAAAAACAAAAUAAAAAACUUAGUUAAAUUUCAAGUGUUUAAAUGAGUUAAAUUUCAUAAGUUAGACAUUAAUAAACUUAGCAUGAGUUAAAUUUUACCUCAAAGGAAAAGUCUAACCCCAUGUUUCUUUGUCCUCCUCACAAAGACUAUAAAAACAAAAAUAUAACAAAAAAUUAAAAAAACAUAACAAAAAGCUUAGUCAAAUUUCAAGUGUUCAAAUGAGUUAAAUUUCAUAAGCUGAGAAUAAAUUGGAAAAUAAUCAAGAGAAUCAUAUCAUCAUCUAUCAUAAAUGCAAUCAUGUCUAUUUAGCCUCUUAAUUUUAGGUAUACAAAACUCAAUGCAUAUACAUAGAAACUAAACCAACAUCAGAUAAAAUGAACUCAAAUUAAAUUACAGGUGGUAAAAAAACAAAAUGAGUAUCACAUCCAUUAUCCAGAAAAUGAAGUGAUAAUCCUAGUGUAUUUUAAAGAAUUUUCACAUCAUCUAUCUACUUGUUGUUUAUUACCACUAGAAAAUUAACUAUGAACCUUCUAAUAAGAAAAUGACUUCAAAGAUCAAAACACCAAAUUUUUAUACACAAAAAAAAAAAAAAAAUUAAUCAUGCAUCUAAUAAUACUUAUGGAUGCCACUACUAUAAUAAAUAAUCUAUUAUCUUACUAUUUAAAUAUCAAACAUAUUAGAAAGAGGGGAAAUAAAACAAAACAAACAUAAACAGUUUGCCAAAUACACUGAGCAAGCAGAUAUAUUAUUGUGUUUAUAUUAUUAAUCUUUGGUGAAGUUUGUGAGAUAUUCAAGUAUUCAAUAUGUUCAGAACAUGAUUACAAAACUCAUAAUUCACGAACCUCAUAGUUUACGAAAGCAGAUAAAAUUAACAAAUAAAGCAAAUAAUAAAAUUAGAAGAUCAAUAAGGAAGAAUCAAACUCUUUUUAACUGCACCCGGUUUUUCAUUUCAUCAAACACCUUUAGAAGCUAGUUGGUUCCUUAACCCAAAAACAUAAAUAAAUAAAUAAAUAAACAAGCAGAAAGAAUUAGAAAAGCAUCAUCAAUAGCAAGUAUGUGUGGAGAAGAAAAUUUAUUAGAACAUUAAAUUUAUGUUAUUUUGAAACUUCAAACAAUUUAAUGAAUCUUCUUCAUUAACUUCAGCAUAUACAAAAUUAAAAAACACCCCACAAAAUGUUUAGGUAGCAAUUAAUUAAAUAAAUAACAACAACAACAAAGUAACAGCUCAUACAGCAGGAAAUGUACCUAAUGAAAAUCAAUAUUGACAACUUGGAAAGCUCUAUACGAAGCUUUUUUAACACAAAAUAAAAUAAUUUUGAGCAAAACAGAGGGAAAGAGAAAGUUGACAGUUUUUUUUUUUUUUGUUUUGAUCACGAGGUAUCUUGAAGAGGGCUCCAACUGUGGGAGGCAUCUUUAAGCCCGUACCACAACCCAGACUAGAAGUCCCCGCUCGAACCGAGAGGCACAGGUUCUCCCAACAAAGGCGAUUUCCCUGCGACUCGAACCGGGGAGCAAACUCAAUUAAGUCACUUAAGGGAACUCCAUUGUCAGUAGAGCCAACACUUUGUUAGUAGAGAAAGUUGACAAUUAUCAUGACAUAAACACAUCAUGGAACAAACAUUUUACAGCAGAUCAAUUUCGAAAUCAUCGUAACCCUUACGAAAAAUUAAUUUCAAAGUUAUACAUGCAUGCAUAUGUCUGACUAAUUAAUUUCAAAGUUAUACAUGCAUGCAUGUCUGACUAACAGGACAUGAAUAUUUUUCAACACAUAGCUUGUUUUACCUAACAAGAUUUUCUGACCAUUAAAAAAAUCUAUAACACGGCUCAUGAUUCCAUUAACAAAUGAUUCUAUAGCAGUGAAGACCAUCACACAAAAGCGGAAGCACAAUCGAUUUUACCAAACCAAACCCACAAACAAAAGCAAAAGCAAGAUGAAAUGAACACAUCAUGGAACAAAAAGCCUAUAACACAUUGAUUUCGAAAUCACCGUAACCUUUACAAAAUCAAAUGCUAUUAAUCAUAAUUUCAUAGAUACAAUCGAACCAAAAAAUCAACAUUAAAUGUUAUUUACGCAUGACCUUGAAAAUUGGAUCAUCAAUGAGAGAGCCUAACUUGCAAAUUGAAAGAUAGAUAGAGAGAUUGAAUCUGCGAUUGCUAUUGAAGCUGAAAGUGAAGAUCAAAAGCUGAAACUGAGACUGUAAGCAAGAUGAUGAGAUGCUGCUGAAGCUGUGAAUGGUCUCUAACACUCAAAAGUUGCACAUGCGCUCUUUAUUGCCGGUGAAAGCCAUCGAAAGUUCAGAGAAUCCAUCGAUUUUAAGUGAGAUUUGAUCAACAUUUGAAGAAAGUGAUUAGGGACUUUUUAGGAAUCAUUUUAGAUUUAUUUAGGAAUUAAAUUAGAAAAUCAAAAUUCAAUAAGAGUAAAAGAGGAAAACAAAUCUUUUUAAUGAUGUGGAAUUCGAAUUUCCCUACUCUUCAACAAAGAAAUCGAAUUCCUUAAAUAACAGAAAGUGGGUACAGAAUGAAACUUAAUUCCCUAUUCACUUUUACUAACUAAACAAAGGAAAUUACAGAGGAAAGGGAAAAUCUCUCUUUUCCUCCCUUAAAUUCAUGGAACCGAACAUGCUUUAAGGCUUAUCUCUCUCUUUCAUGUCUUCUGCCUCUUCCUCAUACUACCUUCAAAUCUUUCCUCCAAACAUUUUUGUGGCGUCGCAUCCUUCUUCCUUGUUUGGCCUGCCAACUUCAAGCUUCUGCUUUUCGCUUUUGACCAAUUUGUGAAUAUUUGUAGUGGCAACCGGUUUAUGGUUGUUUUUCACUCAAAUAUGUAUUCAGAAACAAAUGGGAGGAAAAGGCCAUAACCGAGGUCUUCUUUUCAACCAAGUAAUUAUAACGUCACUUGCCACUUCAGUGACACAACAAGCGGUGUUUGUUUUGAGCAAGCUCACUCUUUCAGCCAAGUAAUUUUAUCUUUAGGGUGCGUUUGAGAUUGAGGUUGGACAGCUGUAAUUUUUAAACUACAGUAUUAAAGUGUUUGAUAAACAUUAGCUGUUGUAGCUUGUAAACUAUGUUGUUAUGAUUUUUCACUUGUAUAAUGAAAAAUUUAUUACAUCUUUAAUAAUUCAAAAUUAUUAUUUAAAAUUCAUAUUUACUACAUAUUAUUAACUUUUGUUUGAUAGUUACAGUUUUUUUUUCCACAAAGUUACAGCACCUCAAUCCUAAAUAGGGUGUUAAUCCUUAUCUUAAAUUAACUUGCUUUAAUUAUUCUUUUCAUUUCUGUUUUCAUCUAUCCUAUAGUUAAAAAUGUCUAAUCUCUAAUCUCUAUAACCAUUUGAGGAAAUUAUACAAUUAGAGAGUUCGGCAAGAAGUCCAAAAGAGGGGAAAAAAAAGAAAUGGCCUUCGAGUCCAAUUUUAGACCCAAAAACAAUUUAAAAAGUAAAAAAAAAUGAUAAUUCUUUAAAUAUCAUAGCUUAAACUUUGUUGACCACCUCGAUUACAAUUACUUUUUAUUUUAAAAAAAAAUUCUACAUGAAGAUCAGUCACCAAUUAACCAUGAAAACACUAUCAAUUAUGUUCAUUAACAAAAUAAUUUAAAAUUACUUAGAUGAAAUAUUUCGUACUCUAUAAGAUAAAUCGUGUCUAAACUUAUUAGGUUUAUAAUCUAAAACCUUACUCUUAUUAAAUAUGAAAAGGUAGAAGAAUAAGUACAUAACCUUUUAGAAAAUCACGAGCUUCUCAGUUCAGUGUGAUUCCUUAUUAUCAUAGACUAAAAUAUGUUACUUAUUCAAAUUAAAAAAAAGUCUAUUAGCCAUUCAAAAAAAAAAAAAAGUCUAUUAAAAUUUAAUGAGAUGCAUUCAGCGGAUUUGAACUCUUUUUUAUUUAUUGAAUUGUUAUUUUAAGUUAUUAAAAUAAUUCAUAAAAAGAAUGGUUCUCAACUUCCAAUAACUCUAUAUAUAACCCUCCCCUUAACCCCAUAAUAAAUCACCUCCUUCGAAAUCCAUUUUUCCCUCCUCCUCAAGCUUCUUCGUUAUAUUGAGUAAAAAAUAAAAAUAUUUUAUUCUAAUUAAGGCUUUUGAAUGAAAUGUGGGUUAAGGCCCAAAAGAGACAAAAAAGGCCAGGCUCGGCCCAUUAAUAUUUGCCCCAAAUUUCAUCCAUUAGGGCUCAAAUUUCCAGCUUUAUCACCUGCACCACCACUACCAAGAGACAGAGAAAUUGAGAGCAAACGAGAGAGAGGGAGGAGAGAUUGAAGGACUCAUUUGAUCUGCUCCGUCACCAACUCGAUCUAUUAUUUAUCAAGGUUCAAUUUCAUUUUGUUUUUCUACUUAAUUUAUGAUAAACGGUUGCCCACUUUUUCUUUUCAAUGUUUAAAAAGGGUCUCUUUUAGCUUAAUUUUUGCAUUAUUUGUUAGGUUUUGUUGUUCCCCUCAUCUGAGUUUCUGUUAAUUAUUUCUAUUUAUUUUGUAAAAGCUUUUGCUUCUAGCUUCAGUUUCUGAGUGUGCUCCUCUUUUUUUUUUUGGUGGGCGGCGUUCUGGUUGUUUCUAGUCCGGAAAUUAGUUUUUAUUUUCGAGAAAAAAAUUUGUAUUUUUAAAUGUUAUCAUGCUUUGUUUGCAUUGAAUUUGGUUAAUUGGCAGCUAGUAGUUGCCAAAGCUCGGACAAAAUAGAGCCCAUGAAUUUGUUUGAUUUUGAUGACUUUUCUUUAACAUUUAUUAACUGAUAUGUUUAGCUCAUUGUUAUUUAAUUUAGGUCUGUAAUAGAAAAAUUGUCCUUAUUGUAAUGGAUUACUUCUCAUCGAAGCAAAGCCCCCUUUUUCCUGAUUGGGUGGUAGUGUUUGGUUUUUAAUUUUCAGCCAUGUUGUAGUUUUUCUCUGGAAAGUCAGUAGAGUGCCAUCCUCAGGAAGAAUUGACGUACAUUUGGCUUCCUUAGCAUUGUUUUUGUUGAUUAUGGUGACUUAUUUGUUGAAUUUGACAUCAUCAUGGUUAGUGCUGGAUAUCUCAAAUAUUUUCAUUCAACAUUGAAUGUUGAGAAUAUUUUCUUGUAAUAAUAAUAGUGUUAAACUGCUUCAAAUGUGUAUUAACUGUAAUUUCGGUACUCUUAUAUUUGUCAGAAACUGGUGUCAUAUACAUGCCAACAUAGUAAGUGGUGGAAUAAUGGCUGUUGAAGCUUCUUCUAAACCAAGCAGGGUCUACGAUUUUGAUGAUGACGAAGAUGGUCCAGCAGUUUUUAAGCGGAAUACUGCUGCUUCUAGGCAAAACCUAGCAAACCCAGAAGUCAAAAGGCCAUCGUCAUCCACAGCCAAUGGUCAAAACUCUAAUGCCCCAAAGGAUAAGACAACAGUUUCAUCUUCCAAGGUGUUGCCAGUGAAAUCUCCUCCACCAAGCCAGAAAGCGACUACCUCAUCUGCCAAGGCAUCACCGUCGAAGUCACCUAUGAGGUCACCUGUAAAGUCACCUGUGAGGUCACCUGUGAAGUCACCAGUGGCUUUUCAACUCCGGUUAACAUCCAUAAAUAUAGUGUCUGUGUUUGUGUGUACAUUUUCAUUUUUUUUUCCUUUCAUUUAUAAAUAGAAUAAUAUCAACUUCGACAAGGCAUGAACGACAUAUUUUUGUGAAAAUGAAAAAAAAAAAAAAAGAGUGAGAACCCCUUUCUUGAUAUUAAAGCCAGUAUUAGAUUUAAAAGAUGACCACAAGGGACAUCAACGGCGAGAGGAAUAGUCAGCGAUCGAUAUCUGCAAAUCAAAGAAACUGAAGAUUAAUUAGAGAGCAGCAAGGAUGGAUGGUGAAAUCAAAAACUUGAUCAAGGUAUGGAUUGUAGCAAUUUCAUGUUUGAGCUAUUGAUACUUGAUAGCAUCAAAAUUACUGGAAGGACUUGUAGGUCAUGUUCGGUUGCAAGAAAGGAGGAGAGAGGAGAGGAAGGGAAAAGUGAGGAGGAGAAAGAAAAUGAGUAGAAAAUGAUGAAGAGAUUAAUUUCCGUUGUUCAGUUUGGCAUAUAAUUAAUAAAGGAAAGAAUUUAAUAAUUUUUAUUUAGACAAAUAUACUCUUCUAUUAAAUUUUUAAUAGUCAUUAUUAAAUAAACUAAAAAUAUGUUUAACUAUUUAAAAACCAGCCUCAAGAUUAACACUCAUUCUCAAUGUCCUGGCAACAUUUAUAUUGCCUUUAUUAAAAGUAUUUUUACACAUCAUUAUCAAAAGUGUUUUUACUAAUAAUUAUCCAAGUGCUUCUAUACAAACCACUUUUUUUUUCUUUUUCUUUCUUUUUCCAAUAAGAAACAUUAAUAUUAUUUCACAUAGAAAAGUCUAACAAAAACAAAAUAAAAAACUUAGUUAAAUUUCAAGUGUUUAAAUGAGUUAAAUUUCAUAAGUUAGACAUUAAUAAACUUAGCAUGAGUUAAAUUUUACCUCAAAGGAAAAGUCUAACCCCAUGUUUCUUUGUCCUCCUCACAAAGACUAUAAAAACAAAAAUAUAACAAAAAAUUAAAAAAACAUAACAAAAAGCUUAGUCAAAUUUCAAGUGUUCAAAUGAGUUAAAUUUCAUAAGCUGAGAAUAAAUUGGAAAAUAAUCAAGAGAAUCAUAUCAUCAUCUAUCAUAAAUGCAAUCAUGUCUAUUUAGCCUCUUAAUUUUAGGUAUACAAAACUCAAUGCAUAUACAUAGAAACUAAACCAACAUCAGAUAAAAUGAACUCAAAUUAAAUUACAGGUGGUAAAAAAACAAAAUGAGUAUCACAUCCAUUAUCCAGAAAAUGAAGUGAUAAUCCUAGUGUAUUUUAAAGAAUUUUCACAUCAUCUAUCUACUUGUUGUUUAUUACCACUAGAAAAUUAACUAUGAACCUUCUAAUAAGAAAAUGACUUCAAAGAUCAAAACACCAAAUUUUUAUACACAAAAAAAAAAAAAAAAUUAAUCAUGCAUCUAAUAAUACUUAUGGAUGCCACUACUAUAAUAAAUAAUCUAUUAUCUUACUAUUUAAAUAUCAAACAUAUUAGAAAGAGGGGAAAUAAAACAAAACAAACAUAAACAGUUUGCCAAAUACACUGAGCAAGCAGAUAUAUUAUUGUGUUUAUAUUAUUAAUCUUUGGUGAAGUUUGUGAGAUAUUCAAGUAUUCAAUAUGUUCAGAACAUGAUUACAAAACUCAUAAUUCACGAACCUCAUAGUUUACGAAAGCAGAUAAAAUUAACAAAUAAAGCAAAUAAUAAAAUUAGAAGAUCAAUAAGGAAGAAUCAAACUCUUUUUAACUGCACCCGGUUUUUCAUUUCAUCAAACACCUUUAGAAGCUAGUUGGUUCCUUAACCCAAAAACAUAAAUAAAUAAAUAAAUAAACAAGCAGAAAGAAUUAGAAAAGCAUCAUCAAUAGCAAGUAUGUGUGGAGAAGAAAAUUUAUUAGAACAUUAAAUUUAUGUUAUUUUGAAACUUCAAACAAUUUAAUGAAUCUUCUUCAUUAACUUCAGCAUAUACAAAAUUAAAAAACACCCCACAAAAUGUUUAGGUAGCAAUUAAUUAAAUAAAUAACAACAACAACAAAGUAACAGCUCAUACAGCAGGAAAUGUACCUAAUGAAAAUCAAUAUUGACAACUUGGAAAGCUCUAUACGAAGCUUUUUUAACACAAAAUAAAAUAAUUUUGAGCAAAACAGAGGGAAAGAGAAAGUUGACAGUUUUUUUUUUUUUUGUUUUGAUCACGAGGUAUCUUGAAGAGGGCUCCAACUGUGGGAGGCAUCUUUAAGCCCGUACCACAACCCAGACUAGAAGUCCCCGCUCGAACCGAGAGGCACAGGUUCUCCCAACAAAGGCGAUUUCCCUGCGACUCGAACCGGGGAGCAAACUCAAUUAAGUCACUUAAGGGAACUCCAUUGUCAGUAGAGCCAACACUUUGUUAGUAGAGAAAGUUGACAAUUAUCAUGACAUAAACACAUCAUGGAACAAACAUUUUACAGCAGAUCAAUUUCGAAAUCAUCGUAACCCUUACGAAAAAUUAAUUUCAAAGUUAUACAUGCAUGCAUAUGUCUGACUAAUUAAUUUCAAAGUUAUACAUGCAUGCAUGUCUGACUAACAGGACAUGAAUAUUUUUCAACACAUAGCUUGUUUUACCUAACAAGAUUUUCUGACCAUUAAAAAAAUCUAUAACACGGCUCAUGAUUCCAUUAACAAAUGAUUCUAUAGCAGUGAAGACCAUCACACAAAAGCGGAAGCACAAUCGAUUUUACCAAACCAAACCCACAAACAAAAGCAAAAGCAAGAUGAAAUGAACACAUCAUGGAACAAAAAGCCUAUAACACAUUGAUUUCGAAAUCACCGUAACCUUUACAAAAUCAAAUGCUAUUAAUCAUAAUUUCAUAGAUACAAUCGAACCAAAAAAUCAACAUUAAAUGUUAUUUACGCAUGACCUUGAAAAUUGGAUCAUCAAUGAGAGAGCCUAACUUGCAAAUUGAAAGAUAGAUAGAGAGAUUGAAUCUGCGAUUGCUAUUGAAGCUGAAAGUGAAGAUCAAAAGCUGAAACUGAGACUGUAAGCAAGAUGAUGAGAUGCUGCUGAAGCUGUGAAUGGUCUCUAACACUCAAAAGUUGCACAUGCGCUCUUUAUUGCCGGUGAAAGCCAUCGAAAGUUCAGAGAAUCCAUCGAUUUUAAGUGAGAUUUGAUCAACAUUUGAAGAAAGUGAUUAGGGACUUUUUAGGAAUCAUUUUAGAUUUAUUUAGGAAUUAAAUUAGAAAAUCAAAAUUCAAUAAGAGUAAAAGAGGAAAACAAAUCUUUUUAAUGAUGUGGAAUUCGAAUUUCCCUACUCUUCAACAAAGAAAUCGAAUUCCUUAAAUAACAGAAAGUGGGUACAGAAUGAAACUUAAUUCCCUAUUCACUUUUACUAACUAAACAAAGGAAAUUACAGAGGAAAGGGAAAAUCUCUCUUUUCCUCCCUUAAAUUCAUGGAACCGAACAUGCUUUAAGGCUUAUCUCUCUCUUUCAUGUCUUCUGCCUCUUCCUCAUACUACCUUCAAAUCUUUCCUCCAAACAUUUUUGUGGCGUCGCAUCCUUCUUCCUUGUUUGGCCUGCCAACUUCAAGCUUCUGCUUUUCGCUUUUGACCAAUUUGUGAAUAUUUGUAGUGGCAACCGGUUUAUGGUUGUUUUUCACUCAAAUAUGUAUUCAGAAACAAAUGGGAGGAAAAGGCCAUAACCGAGGUCUUCUUUUCAACCAAGUAAUUAUAACGUCACUUGCCACUUCAGUGACACAACAAGCGGUGUUUGUUUUGAGCAAGCUCACUCUUUCAGCCAAGUAAUUUUAUCUUUAGGGUGCGUUUGAGAUUGAGGUUGGACAGCUGUAAUUUUUAAACUACAGUAUUAAAGUGUUUGAUAAACAUUAGCUGUUGUAGCUUGUAAACUAUGUUGUUAUGAUUUUUCACUUGUAUAAUGAAAAAUUUAUUACAUCUUUAAUAAUUCAAAAUUAUUAUUUAAAAUUCAUAUUUACUACAUAUUAUUAACUUUUGUUUGAUAGUUACAGUUUUUUUUUCCACAAAGUUACAGCACCUCAAUCCUAAAUAGGGUGUUAAUCCUUAUCUUAAAUUAACUUGCUUUAAUUAUUCUUUUCAUUUCUGUUUUCAUCUAUCCUAUAGUUAAAAAUGUCUAAUCUCUAAUCUCUAUAACCAUUUGAGGAAAUUAUACAAUUAGAGAGUUCGGCAAGAAGUCCAAAAGAGGGGAAAAAAAAGAAAUGGCCUUCGAGUCCAAUUUUAGACCCAAAAACAAUUUAAAAAGUAAAAAAAAAUGAUAAUUCUUUAAAUAUCAUAGCUUAAACUUUGUUGACCACCUCGAUUACAAUUACUUUUUAUUUUAAAAAAAAAUUCUACAUGAAGAUCAGUCACCAAUUAACCAUGAAAACACUAUCAAUUAUGUUCAUUAACAAAAUAAUUUAAAAUUACUUAGAUGAAAUAUUUCGUACUCUAUAAGAUAAAUCGUGUCUAAACUUAUUAGGUUUAUAAUCUAAAACCUUACUCUUAUUAAAUAUGAAAAGGUAGAAGAAUAAGUACAUAACCUUUUAGAAAAUCACGAGCUUCUCAGUUCAGUGUGAUUCCUUAUUAUCAUAGACUAAAAUAUGUUACUUAUUCAAAUUAAAAAAAAGUCUAUUAGCCAUUCAAAAAAAAAAAAAAGUCUAUUAAAAUUUAAUGAGAUGCAUUCAGCGGAUUUGAACUCUUUUUUAUUUAAGUCUAUUAAAAUUUAAUGAGAUGCAUUCAGUCUAUUAAAAUUUAAUGAGAUGCAUUCAGCGGAUUUGAACUCUUUUUUAUUUAUUGAAUUGUUAUUUUAAGUUAUUAAAAUAAUUCAUAAAAAGAAUGGUUCUCAACUUCCAAUAACUCUAUAUAUAACCCUCCCCUUAACCCCAUAAUAAAUCACCUCCUUCGAAAUCCAUUUUUCCCUCCUCCUCAAGCUUCUUCGUUAUAUUGAGUAAAAAAUAAAAAUAUUUUAUUCUAAUUAAGGCUUUUGAAUGAAAUGUGGGUUAAGGCCCAAAAGAGACAAAAAAGGCCAGGCUCGGCCCAUUAAUAUUUGCCCCAAAUUUCAUCCAUUAGGGCUCAAAUUUCCAGCUUUAUCACCUGCACCACCACUACCAAGAGACAGAGAAAUUGAGAGCAAACGAGAGAGAGGGAGGAGAGAUUGAAGGACUCAUUUGAUCUGCUCCGUCACCAACUCGAUCUAUUAUUUAUCAAGGUUCAAUUUCAUUUUGUUUUUCUACUUAAUUUAUGAUAAACGGUUGCCCACUUUUUCUUUUCAAUGUUUAAAAAGGGUCUCUUUUAGCUUAAUUUUUGCAUUAUUUGUUAGGUUUUGUUGUUCCCCUCAUCUGAGUUUCUGUUAAUUAUUUCUAUUUAUUUUGUAAAAGCUUUUGCUUCUAGCUUCAGUUUCUGAGUGUGCUCCUCUUUUUUUUUUUGGUGGGCGGCGUUCUGGUUGUUUCUAGUCCGGAAAUUAGUUUUUAUUUUCGAGAAAAAAAUUUGUAUUUUUAAAUGUUAUCAUGCUUUGUUUGCAUUGAAUUUGGUUAAUUGGCAGCUAGUAGUUGCCAAAGCUCGGACAAAAUAGAGCCCAUGAAUUUGUUUGAUUUUGAUGACUUUUCUUUAACAUUUAUUAACUGAUAUGUUUAGCUCAUUGUUAUUUAAUUUAGGUCUGUAAUAGAAAAAUUGUCCUUAUUGUAAUGGAUUACUUCUCAUCGAAGCAAAGCCCCCUUUUUCCUGAUUGGGUGGUAGUGUUUGGUUUUUAAUUUUCAGCCAUGUUGUAGUUUUUCUCUGGAAAGUCAGUAGAGUGCCAUCCUCAGGAAGAAUUGACGUACAUUUGGCUUCCUUAGCAUUGUUUUUGUUGAUUAUGGUGACUUAUUUGUUGAAUUUGACAUCAUCAUGGUUAGUGCUGGAUAUCUCAAAUAUUUUCAUUCAACAUUGAAUGUUGAGAAUAUUUUCUUGUAAUAAUAAUAGUGUUAAACUGCUUCAAAUGUGUAUUAACUGUAAUUUCGGUACUCUUAUAUUUGUCAGAAACUGGUGUCAUAUACAUGCCAACAUAGUAAGUGGUGGAAUAAUGGCUGUUGAAGCUUCUUCUAAACCAAGCAGGGUCUACGAUUUUGAUGAUGACGAAGAUGGUCCAGCAGUUUUUAAGCGGAAUACUGCUGCUUCUAGGCAAAACCUAGCAAACCCAGAAGUCAAAAGGCCAUCGUCAUCCACAGCCAAUGGUCAAAACUCUAAUGCCCCAAAGGAUAAGACAACAGUUUCAUCUUCCAAGGUGUUGCCAGUGAAAUCUCCUCCACCAAGCCAGAAAGCGACUACCUCAUCUGCCAAGGCAUCACCGUCGAAGUCACCUAUGAGGUCACCUGUAAAGUCACCUGUGAGGUCACCUGUGAAGUCACCAGUGGCUAAUUCAAAAGAAUCAAGUCCUUUAGAUGAUAGGUUAAAACAAUCGCCGCAGCACAAUGCGCUGGCUGUUGUGAAGAAGGAAGAAAUUAAGGAUGGCAAUGGCUUGAAAAGUGAUGACAAUGAUUCUGAGGAUGACAAACCAUUGAGUGCUAGGCUUAAGGGUAACAGCAAAAAUGUCAACCAA
This 24463-nucleotide long non-coding RNA is filed under the name Citrus sinensis (sweet orange). Its description in RNAcentral is "long non-coding RNA (CSIN_LNC001644)". The record is from RNAcentral. Lineage: Eukaryota; Viridiplantae; Streptophyta; Magnoliopsida; Sapindales; Rutaceae.